UACGGGGGGAGCAAGCGUUGUUCGGAUUUACUGGGCGUAAAGGGCGCGUAGGCGGCCACCGCAAGUCGACUGUGAAAUCUCUGGGCUUAACCCAGAACGGUCAGCCGAUACUGCGGGGCUAGAGUGCAGAAGGGGCAACUGGAAUUCUCGGUGUAGCGGUGAAAUGCGUAGAUAUCGAGAGGAACAUCAGUGGCGAAGGCGGCCAUCUGGGACAACACUGACGCUGAGGCACGAAAGCGUGGGGAGCAAACAGG
This 254-nucleotide ribosomal RNA is filed under the name uncultured bacterium. RNAcentral's name for it is "partial 16S ribosomal RNA". It matches the Rfam family "Bacterial small subunit ribosomal RNA", at positions 524 to 776 of the family's 1533-position model. The record is from RNAcentral.